RNAcentral lists this ribosomal RNA (460 nucleotides) under uncultured bacterium. RNAcentral's name for it is "partial 16S ribosomal RNA". It matches the Rfam family "Bacterial small subunit ribosomal RNA", at positions 338 to 795 of the family's 1533-position model. The record is from RNAcentral.
CCUACGGUAGUCAGCAGUGAGGCAUAUUGGUCAAUGGGCGCGAGCCUGAACCAGCCAAGUCGCGUGAGGGAUGAAGGUUCUAUAGAUCUUAAACCUCUUUUAUAAGGGAAUAAAGUGUGGGACGUGUCCUAUAUUGUAUGUACCUUAUGAAUAAGGAUCGGCUAACUCCGUGCCAGCAGCCGCGGUAAUACGGAGGAUCCGAGCGUUAUCAGGAUUUAUUGGGUUUAAAGGGUGCGUAGGCGGACUUUUAAGUGUGCGGGUAAAGUAUGUGGCUCAACCAUAGAAUUGACGUUGAAACUGGGGGGCUUGAGUAUGUUUGAGGCAGGCUGAAUGCGUGGUGUAGCGGUGACAUGCUUAGAUAUCACGCAGAACCCCGAUUGCGACGGCAGCCUGCCAAGCCAUGACUGACGCUGAUGCACGAAAGCGUGGGGAUCAAACAGGAUUAGAUACCCCUGUAGUC